UGGGGAAUAUUGCACAAUGGGCGCAAGCCUGAUGCAGCAACGCCGCGUGAACGAUGAAGGUCUUCGGACCGUAAAGUUCUGUUGCAGGGGAAGAUAAUGACGGUACCCUGUGAGGAAGCCCCGGCUAAAUACGUGCCAGCAGCCGCGGUAAUACGUAGGGGGCUAGCGUUAUCCGGAUUUACUGGGCGUAAAGGGUGCGUAGGUGGUCUUUCAAGUCGGUGGUUAAAGGCUACGGCUCAACCGUAGUUAGCCUCCGAAACUGGAAGACUUGAGUGCAGGAGAGGAAAGUGGAAUUCCCAGGGUAGCGGUGAAAUGCGUAGAGAUUGGGAGGAACACCAGUAGCGAAGGCGGCUUGCUGGACUGAAACUGACGCUGAGGCACGAAAGCGUGGGUAGCAAACAGG
RNAcentral lists this ribosomal RNA (403 nucleotides) under Verrucomicrobiota bacterium. Its description in RNAcentral is "Verrucomicrobia bacterium partial 16S ribosomal RNA". It matches the Rfam family "Bacterial small subunit ribosomal RNA", at positions 355 to 776 of the family's 1533-position model. Lineage: Bacteria; Pseudomonadati; Verrucomicrobiota. The record is from RNAcentral.